GGUGAACGCUGGCGGCGUGCCUAAUACAUGCAAGUCGAGCGAACGGACGAGAAGCUUGCUUCUCUGAUGUUAGCGGCGGACGGGUGAGUAACACGUGGAUAACCUACCUAUAAGACUGGGAUAACUUCGGGAAACCGUAGCUAAUACCGGAUAAUAUUUUGAACCGCAUGGUUCAAAAGUGAAAGACGGUCUUGCUGUCACUUAUAGAUGGAUCCGCGCUGCAUUAGUUAGUUGGUAAGGUAACGGCUUACCAAGGCAACGAUGCAUAGCCGACCUGAGAGGGUGAUCGGCCACACUGGAACUGAGACACGGUCCAGACUCCUACGGGAGGCAGCAGUAGGGAAUCUUCCGCAAUGGGCGAAAGCCUGACGGAGCAACGCCGCGUGAGUGAUGAAGGUCUUCGGAUCGUAAAACUCUGUUAUUAGGGAAGAACAUAUGUGUAAGUAACUGUGCACAUCUUGACGGUACCUAAUCAGAAAGCCACGGCUAACUACGUG
RNAcentral lists this ribosomal RNA (497 nucleotides) under uncultured bacterium. Its description in RNAcentral is "partial 16S ribosomal RNA". It matches the Rfam family "Bacterial small subunit ribosomal RNA", at positions 28 to 507 of the family's 1533-position model. The record is from RNAcentral.